Molecule: ribosomal RNA, 253 nt
Filed under: uncultured bacterium
Lineage: Bacteria
Description: partial 16S ribosomal RNA
Rfam family: Bacterial small subunit ribosomal RNA
Source: RNAcentral
UACAGAGGUCCCAAGCGUUGUUCGGAUUCACUGGGCGUAAAGGGUGCGUAGGUGGUGUGGCAAGUUCGGUGUGAAAUCUCCGGGCUUAACUCGGAAAUGGCACUGAAAACUGCCACGCUAGAGGGUUGGAAGGGAGACUGGAAUUCUUGGUGUAGCAGUGAAAUGCGUAGAUAUCAAGAGGAACACCAGUGGCGAAGGCGAGUCUCUGGACAACACCUGACACUGAGGCACGAAAGCUAGGGGAGCAAACAGG